UACGGGGGGGAGCAAGCGUUGUUCGGAUUUACUGGGCGUAAAGGGCGCGUAGGCGGCCAGCACAAGUCAGUUGUGAAAUCUCCGAGCUUAACUCGGAAAGGUCAACUGAUACUGUCGGACUAGAGUACAGAAGGGGCAACUGGAAUUCUCGGUGUAGCGGUGAAAUGCGUAGAUAUCGAGAGGAACACCUGCGGCGAAGGCGGGUUGCUGGGCUGAUACUGACGCUGAGGCGCGAAAGCCAGGGGAGCGAACGGG
Molecule: ribosomal RNA, 255 nt
Filed under: uncultured bacterium
Lineage: Bacteria
Description: partial 16S ribosomal RNA
Rfam family: Bacterial small subunit ribosomal RNA
Source: RNAcentral